This is a long non-coding RNA of Alligator mississippiensis (American alligator), 1015 nucleotides long. RefSeq lists it as uncharacterized. NCBI's taxonomy places the organism in Eukaryota, Metazoa, Chordata, Crocodylia, Alligatoridae. The transcript is spliced from 5 exons. The record is from RefSeq and is a predicted model, not a curated record.
CAGCGUAUGAAUAAAACUGUCUGUGAAAAUUUCUAUCAGAGUCUCCAUUUAAAAUGUAACUUCUUCUCUGACCAUUUGCAAGUCAGCUGCAUCGUGGAGAUGUGCAGUACAGACAUUUCAAAUAGGGGAAAGAGAAGAAAGAGAACAUGAAACUGCUCUGCUCCAGUGCGAGGGGACUCGACAAGGUGCCCAAAUCCUCCAGAGAGCCAGACUCAACCUCCUCUGCUUGGGAGCUUGGAGCCUCUGCGGAGUAGAACAGGACCAGGUUUCCAGUUUAUCAAGGUCAUGCUGAAUCCUACUUAUAUCCUCCAAAGUGCCUGCAAUUUCUCCCAGCUUGGCAUUAUCUGCAAAUUUGGUUUCUUUCUGCACUGGGUUGAAUAAGGGAAGUUAAAGAUAAACUUGGCCUUCACAAUCAGCUCCUUGGGAGAAGCACCUGGGACAAUACACACGAAUACCCUGUUGAAAGUGCACAGCUUUUUAUGCCUGUUUACAGAAAGAACAGCAAUCUGAAUGAAGGGCUGCAGGAUAUUGCUCAGAAGAUAUGAAGCGCUACAGAAGGAGGUUGUAGGUUUCCCCAUGACAAGAAGCUUCUCCUAUCUUCUGCUGAACCACAUUCCAGAGUGUGCACACAAUAGAUUCGGAAAGCUCGCAGCAAAUGUUCAUUACUGUGAGCCUCAAGGCUGUCUCAGGAAGGAUCCAUCAAGAGAAUGGUAAUGGAUAAGGGAAGAGCUGAUCAAUAAUAGACCCAGUCUAGGAUUAAAUGGAUCAGAGAAGUUAGCCUUCAAGCAAAUUAGCAGAGCACACAGGGGUAAAUACUAAUGGUAUUUGUGCUGUUUCUUUUCAUUAGAUAAAUAGGUAAUUUCUGAUGUCAAUGCAGGCUUCUCUCACCUGAACUGAAUUUACUUUAAGAAGAAAGUGAUUCUUCAUUCGGAGAACUUUGGAAAUUGUGGAGUAGAAAUUGCUCAGCAACAAAGUGAGCUUUCUUGGCAAAGAUAAAUAAAUGUAGCCAUUGGUA